UACGUAGGCAGCAAGCGUUGUUCGGAGUUACUGGGCGUAAAGGGUGCGUAGGCGGUUGUUUAAGUUUGGUGUGAAAUCUCCCGGCUCAACUGGGAGGGUGCGCCGAAUACUGAAUGACUAGAGUGCGGGAGAGGAGAGUGGAAUUCCUGGUGUAGCGGUGAAAUGCGUAGAUAUCAGGAGGAACACCGGUGGUGUAGGCGGCUCUCUGGACCGUAACUGACGCUGAGGCACGAAAGCGUGGGUAGCAAACAGG
This 253-nucleotide ribosomal RNA is filed under the name uncultured bacterium. RNAcentral describes it as "partial 16S ribosomal RNA". It matches the Rfam family "Bacterial small subunit ribosomal RNA", at positions 524 to 776 of the family's 1533-position model. The record is from RNAcentral.